RNAcentral lists this ribosomal RNA (484 nucleotides) under uncultured bacterium. RNAcentral's name for it is "partial 16S ribosomal RNA". It matches the Rfam family "Bacterial small subunit ribosomal RNA", at positions 30 to 507 of the family's 1533-position model. The record is from RNAcentral.
AUUGAACGCUGGCGGCAGGCCUAACACAUGCAAGUCGAGCGGAUGAAGGGAGCUGGCUCCUGGAGUCAGCGGCGGACGGGUGUGUAAUGCCUAGGAAUCUGCCUGGGAGUGGGGGAUAACGUCGGGAAACGGGCUCUAAUACCGCGUACGCCGUGGGGGAGAGAGUGGGGGAUCUUCGCACCGCUCGCUAUCGCAUCAUCCUAGGUCGGAUUAGCUAGUUGGUGGGGUAAAGGCCUACCAAGGCGACGAUCCGUAACUGGUCUGAGAGGAUGAUCAGUCACACUGGAACUGAGACACGGUCCAGACUCCUACGGGAGGCAGCAGUGGGGAAUAUUGGACAAUGGGCGAAAGCCUGAUCCAGCAAUGCCGCGUGUGUGAAGAAGGUCUUCGGAUUGUAAAGCACUUUAAGUUGGGAGGAAGGGCAGUAAGCUAAUACCUUGCUGUUUUGACGUUACCAACAGAAUAAGCACCGGCUAACUUCGUG